RNAcentral lists this long non-coding RNA (248 nucleotides) under Gallus gallus (chicken). Lineage: Eukaryota; Metazoa; Chordata; Aves; Galliformes; Phasianidae. The record is from RNAcentral.
CUUUGUCGUAGCACGCCUGGUUGCAGCCCGGCUGCAGGGUGUUGCACAUGAACAUGGUCUGCUCGUCCUCGUACACCGUCUCGCCCACGAUGGCCACGAUCAGGAUGCGGGAAAAUCACCACCACCGUCAGCAGGAUCCUUCCGAUCAUGGUGGAGUGCUGCUGCCACGGCCGCCUCCAGCAGCCGCUCCAGGAUCGUCCAUUCGCCCAUCGCGAUGGGAGCGGGGGGUGCCGGACCGGGACCCCCCC